Salvelinus sp. IW2-2015 is the source of this 250-nucleotide non-coding RNA. NCBI's taxonomy places the organism in Eukaryota, Metazoa, Chordata, Actinopteri, Salmoniformes, Salmonidae. The record is from RefSeq and is a predicted model, not a curated record.
AUCUACUUACUUGACAUCUUGGCUGAGGGAUUGUGGAUUUCAAGCUAUUCUCGUCAUUGGCGAGUAUUGCACAGAAGUUGUGUUUCUCCAGUUGAAGAACUACACUUCCUCCCCACUGUUGCAUACACAGCCAGGUGUUCGAAGCAAGCUAGAUAGCUCAUUAGCACAGGUGGUCGCCUAUGUUUUCUGUCUGGCUUCCGUAAACAAGAGCUAGAUAUGGCCUUGUGGGAACACCAACUCUCUAAAAAAA